UGUGUUAUGUGGUGAGCUGUUUGAAGAUAUUUAUAAUAAGAAUAUGGAUCAAUGGAUGUUCAAAGAAGCUGUUUAUUUGACUCUUUCAGCUCAAACAGUGGUAACAAGUCUUACAGGAGAAAAGGGUCCUAUUGUUCAUGCAAAGGGUCCUAUUGUUCAUGCAAACUGUAUAUCAGAAAGUUCUCUUCGUGAUUUGGAUCUAGCCAAUGAUGUAAAAGUGGUAAG
This 225-nucleotide long non-coding RNA is filed under the name Daucus carota (carrot). RNAcentral describes it as "long non-coding RNA (DCAR_LNC004490)". The record is from RNAcentral. Lineage: Eukaryota; Viridiplantae; Streptophyta; Magnoliopsida; Apiales; Apiaceae.